This 61-nucleotide transfer RNA is filed under the name Ephedra intermedia. Its description in RNAcentral is "partial tRNA-Thr". It matches the Rfam family "tRNA", at positions 12 to 71 of the family's 71-position model. From Rfam's summary of the family: Transfer RNA (tRNA) molecules are approximately 80 nucleotides in length. Lineage: Eukaryota; Viridiplantae; Streptophyta; Gnetopsida; Ephedrales; Ephedraceae. The record is from RNAcentral.
UCAGUGGUAGAGUAAAGCCAUGGUAAGGCGUAAGUCAUCGGUUCAAAUCCGAUAAUGGACU